This 440-nucleotide ribosomal RNA is filed under the name uncultured bacterium. RNAcentral's name for it is "partial 16S ribosomal RNA". It matches the Rfam family "Bacterial small subunit ribosomal RNA", at positions 338 to 795 of the family's 1533-position model. The record is from RNAcentral.
CCUACGGGAGGCAACAGUGGGGAAUAUUGGACAAUGGGGGGAACCCUGAUCCAGCGACGCCGCGUGAGUGAAGAAGGAUUUCGGUAUGUAAAGCUCUAUCAGCAGGGAAGAAAAUGACGGUAACUGACUAAGAAGCCCCGGCUAACUACGUGCCAGCAGCCGAGGUAAUACGUAGGGGGCAAGCGUUAUGCGGAUUUACUGGGGGUAAAGGGAGCGGAGACGGUGUAGCAAGUCUGAUGUGAAAGGUCGGGGCUCAACCCCGGGACUGCAUUGGAAACUGUGGAACUGGAGUACAGGAGAGGUGAGCGGAAUUCCAAGUGUAGCGGUGAAAUGCGUAGAUAUUAGGAGGAACACCAGUGGCGAAGGCGGCUUACUGGACUGUAACUGACGUUGAGGCUCGAAAGCGUGGGGAGCAAACAGGAUUAGAUACCCCGGUAGUC